Molecule: long non-coding RNA, 1137 nt
Filed under: Helianthus annuus (common sunflower)
Lineage: Eukaryota; Viridiplantae; Streptophyta; Magnoliopsida; Asterales; Asteraceae
Description: sRNA HanXRQr2_Chr17g0825391
Source: RNAcentral
GACGCUUACAACCAACUAUGGACCAAACCCGAAUCUACAAUAAAACAAUCAAAAAACAUUAAAAACUCUCCAUUGGUCCCAAGACAUAUUCACCUCUUUUGCACGAUGCUUUACCCAUAAUAAGCUUUUCACUUUGAUUUCCUCCACAACAUCCGCAAUGGAUUUAGAUUUCCCAGUGAACAUUAGAUCGUUCUUGAGAUUCUAUAUACUCCAUAAAGUCACUAGACAUAUCGCGUGAAAAGCCUUCUUCUUCUUUUCCGAACCACCGAACCUCUGGUGAGCAUCAAGAAUGUCCUGUAAACUGAAAGCGAUAACUGGGUCAGUUUUACACCACUGGAAAACCACUAGCCAAACAAUUUGAGCGAAUUCACACGAGACGAGCAAGUGAUCGCUGGUUUCGCAGUAUCCUCUACACAGAAUACACUUCAAAAAUCUUAUUAUUCCUGUAAAUCCAUAUCUUCCAAAUUGUAGUAAACAAACUAGCUUCUACCAUCCUCCUCCAGUCACAAAGCCUCAACACCUGUACUCAAUAGUUCCAGACCGCUUAACUUAAGUUAUGCCUACACAUUCCACCAAAUAGCUUUAGCCCAAACACAAGAAAAGAAAAUAUGGUUAUGAUCCUCAUCUUCUAAACCACAACUACUACAUACAACAUCUCCAACUUUAACUCCCCUAUGACUUAAUCCCACCUUUGAUGGAAUUCUUCCAAAAAAAAAAAAAAAAAACUCUCCAACAAAACAAUUUUACCUUUAGAGGAAUCCAAUUGUUCCAUCUAAAAGCCACACCAUUCGGAUCUUCGUUUCAUUUCUUCAUAACUUGAGACCUAAGUUCCGAGACCGAGGAACUAUCUUUUUUAAAACUGUACCAAAUCCAUCUAUCGUCUUUAAACACAAGAAUAUUCUCAACAUCUAGCCCUAUCUCUUUAAACAUAUUUAGAACCGAAACAAUAUAUUUCCAAAUUCUCUUAAUUUGUGAAUUAAUUGUUGAUCAGUUUUGUAUAAAUAUAAUGGAAAACAUGUAGAAAUACCUGUAACAACAGACAUGCCAGUAAAGAAUCCAGUCAGGGAUGCAGCCAUAGAGUUUGACAUAGUUGUCAGCUUGAUCUGGUUCCUCCUUAGGGUAGAUGGAGAGGGAUGA